Non-coding RNA from Nemania sp. NC0429, 79 nucleotides. NCBI's taxonomy places the organism in Eukaryota, Fungi, Ascomycota, Sordariomycetes, Xylariales, Xylariaceae. The record is from the annotation of a GenBank genome assembly.
GGGCAUGUGGUGUAACUGGGACACGCCGGGUUCUUACUAUGUUGGUCCGGAGAAGUCGGUUCGAUUCCGGCCUUGUCCA